This 460-nucleotide ribosomal RNA is filed under the name uncultured bacterium. RNAcentral describes it as "partial 16S ribosomal RNA". It matches the Rfam family "Bacterial small subunit ribosomal RNA", at positions 338 to 795 of the family's 1533-position model. The record is from RNAcentral.
CCUACGGGCGGCAGCAGUGAGGAAUAUUGGUCAAUGGACGAGAGUCUGAACCAGCCAAGUAGCGUGAAGGAUGACUGCCCUAUGGGUUGUAAACUUCUUUUAUAUGGGAAUAAAAUGUUCCACGUGUGGGUUUUUGUAUGUACCAUAUGAAUACGGAUCGGCUAACUCCGUGCCAGCAGCCGCGGUAAUACGGAGGAUCCGAGCGUUAUCCGGAUUUAUUGGGUUUAAAGGGAGCGUAGGUGGAUUGUUAAGUUAGUUGUGAAAGUUUGCGGCUCAACCGUAAAAUUGCAGUUGAAACUGGCAGUCUUGAGUACAGUAGAGGUGGGCGGAAUUCGUGGUGUAGCGGUGAAAUGCUUAGAUAUCACGAAGAACUCCGAUUGCGAAGGCAGCUCACUGGACUGCAACUGACACUGAGGCUCGAAAGUGUUGGUAUCAAACAGGAUUAGAUACCCUUGUAGUC